AAUGAACGCUGGCGGCGCGCCUAAUACAUGCAAGUCGAGCGAGAAGACGUAGCAAUACGUUUGUAAAGCGGCGAACGGGUGAGGAAUACAUGGGUAACCUACCCUCGAGUGGGGAAUAACUAGCCGAAAGGUUAGCUAAUACCGCGUACGCUCCUUGGACUUCGGUUCAGGGAGGAAAGCGAUACCGUGGGUAUCGCGCUCUUGGUUGGGCUCAUGUCCUAUCAGCUUGUUGGUGAGGAACGGCUCACCAAGGCUUCGACGGGUAGCUGGUCUGAGAGGACGAUCAGCCACACUGGCACUGCGACACGGGCCAGACUCCUACGGGAGGCAGCAGUAAGGAAUAUUGCGCAAUGGGCGAAAGCCUGACGCAGCAACGCCGCGU
RNAcentral lists this ribosomal RNA (382 nucleotides) under uncultured bacterium. RNAcentral's name for it is "bacterial SSU rRNA". It matches the Rfam family "Bacterial small subunit ribosomal RNA", at positions 29 to 402 of the family's 1533-position model. The record is from RNAcentral.